GACGAACGCUGGCGGCGUGCUUAACACAUGCAAGUCGAACGGUGAAGCGCCUUCCUUUUUGGUGGGUGUGGAUGAGUGGCGAACGGGUGAGUAACACGUGAGUAACCUGCCCCCUUCUUCUGGAUAACCGCAUGAAAGUGUGGCUAAUACGGGAUAUUCUGGGUCUGUCGCAUGAUGGGUCUGGGACAGAUAUUGUUUCGGUGGGGGAUGGGCUGGCGGCCUAUCAGCUUGUUGGUGGGGUGAUGGCCUACCAAGGCGGUGACGGGUAGCCGGCCUGGGAGGGUGGACGGUCACACUGGGACUGAGACACGGCCCAGACUCCUACGGGAGGCAGCAGUGGGGAAUAUUGCACAGUGGGCGCAAGCCUGAUGCAGCGACGCCGCGUGAGGGAUGGAGGCCUUCGGGUUGUGAACCUCUUUCGCCAGUGAAGCAGGCCUGCCUCGUUUGUGGGUGGGUUGACGGUAGCUGGAUAAGAAGCGCCGGCUAACUACGUG
RNAcentral lists this ribosomal RNA (494 nucleotides) under uncultured bacterium. RNAcentral describes it as "partial 16S ribosomal RNA". It matches the Rfam family "Bacterial small subunit ribosomal RNA", at positions 28 to 507 of the family's 1533-position model. The record is from RNAcentral.